CCUACGGGUGGCAGCAGUGAGGAAUAUUGGUCAAUGGGCGAGAGCCUGAACCAGCCAAGUCGCGUGAAGGAUGACGGCCCUACGGGUUGUAAACUUCUUUUGUCAGGGAGCAAUUUGGUCCACGCGUGGGCUUAUCGAGAGUCCCCGUAGAAAAAGCAUCGGUUAACCCCGGGCAAGCAGCCGGGGUAAUACGGAGGAUGGGAGGGUUUUCCGGUUUUAUGGGGUUUAAGGGGUCCGUAGGCGGAAUAUCAAGUCAGCGGUAAAUAUUCGGGGCUCAACCCCGUAGUGCCGUUGAAACUGGUGUGCUUGAGUGGGCGGGAAGUAUGCGGAAUGCGUGGUGUAGCGGUGAAAUGCAUAGAUAUCACGAAGAACUCCGAUUGCGAAGGCAGCAUACCGGCGCCCAACUGACGCUGAAGCACGAAAGCGUGGGUAUCGAACAGGAUUAGAUACCCGGGUAGUC
Molecule: ribosomal RNA, 460 nt
Filed under: uncultured bacterium
Lineage: Bacteria
Description: partial 16S ribosomal RNA
Rfam family: Bacterial small subunit ribosomal RNA
Source: RNAcentral